This 1564-nucleotide ribosomal RNA is filed under the name Clostridioides difficile. RNAcentral's name for it is "bacterial LSU rRNA". It matches the Rfam family "Bacterial large subunit ribosomal RNA", at positions 1280 to 2856 of the family's 2925-position model. Lineage: Bacteria; Bacillati; Bacillota; Clostridia; Peptostreptococcales; Peptostreptococcaceae. The record is from RNAcentral.
GUAUGGGAGUGAGAAUGUUGGCAUGAGUAGCGAGAUGUGGGUGAGAAUCCCACAGGCCGUAAACCCAAGGUUUCCAGGGGAAGGUUCGUCCGCCCUGGGUUAGUCGGGACCUAAGCUGAGGCCGAAAGGCGUAGGUGAUGGACAACAGGUUGAUAUUCCUGUACUACCGAUAACCGUUUGAGAGAAGGGAUGACACAGUAGGAUAAGCUAAGCACACUGUUGGUUAUGUGUGCCCAAGCAUUGAGGCAGUCAAAGUAGGCAAAUCCGCUUUGAUAAUGCUGGGAUGUGAUGGGGAGCGAAAUUUAGUAGCGAAGUAGCUGAUUUCACACUGUCAAGAAAAGUCUCUAUCGAGGUUAAAGGUACCCGUACCGCAAACCGACACAGGUGGGUGAGGAGAGUAUCCUAAGGCCAGCGAGAGAACUGUUGUUAAGGAACUCGGCAAAAUGACCCCGUAACUUAGGGAUAAGGGGUGCCACCAUCAGGUGGCCGCAGAGAAUAGGCCCAAGCGACUGUUUACCAAAAACAUAGGUUUCUGCUAAGUCGCAAGACGAUGUAUAGGAGCUGACGCCUGCCCGGUGCUGGAAGGUUAAGGGGAUCUGUUAGAGCAAUCGAAGCAGUGAACUUAAGCCCCAGUAAACGGCGGCCGUAACUAUAACGGUCCUAAGGUAGCGAAAUUCCUUGUCGGGUAAGUUCCGACCCGCACGAAAGGCGUAACGAUUUGGGCACUGUCUCAACAACAGACUCGGUGAAAUUGUAAUUCCGGUGAAGAUGCCGGAUACCUGCGACAGGACGGAAAGACCCCAUGGAGCUUUACUGUAGCUUGACAUUGGGUCUUGGUACUACAUGUACAGGAUAGGUGGGAGGCUUUGAAACCAGGACGCCAGUUUUGGCGGAGCCAUCCUUGGGAUACCACCCUUGUAGUACUGGGACUCUAACCAUAGGCCAUGAAUCUGGUCUUGGGACACUGUCAGGUGGGCAGUUUGACUGGGGCGGUCGCCUCCCAAAAGGUAACGGAGGCGCUCAAAGGUUCUCUCAGUACGGUCGGAAAUCGUACGUAGAGUGUAAAGGCAAAAGAGAGCUUGAUUGCAAGACAUACAGGUCGAGCAAGGAUGAAAAUCGGACUUAGUGAUCCGGUGGUUCUGCGUGGAAGGGCCAUCGCUCAACGGAUAAAAGCUACCCUGGGGAUAACAGGCUUAUCUCCCCCAAGAGUCCACAUCGACGGGGAGGUUUGGCACCUCGAUGUCGGCUCAUCACAUCCUGGGGCUGUAGUAGGUCCCAAGGGUUGGGCUGUUCGCCCAUUAAAGUGGUACGCGAGCUGGGUUCAGAACGUCGUGAGACAGUUCGGUCCCUAUCCGUCGCAGGCGUAGGAAAUUUGAGAAGACCUGUCCUUAGUACGAGAGGACCGGGAUGGACGUACCUCUGGUGUACCAGUUGUCCUGCCAAGGGCAUGGCUGGGUAGCUAUGUACGGAAUGGAUAAGCGCUGAAAGCAUCUAAGCGCGAAGCCAACUUCAAGAUAAGAUUUCCCACCGCAAGGGUAAGACCCCAGAAAGACUAUCUGGUUGA